AUGGGAACUCUGUAUCAACUGAUAUUUGAAAUUUGAUUGCACUUGUCAAGAAUUGCACAUAGUUUGACAACUCCAACAUAAGCAAUUUCAUGUUUGAUAUAAUUUUGCCUCAUUGUUCAAGUAAUGGUGCUGCCUUUUAUUAGACACAUAACUCUUCUCUAGAAAUAUUUAGAUUUUAAGGCAUACAAUUAGAAUCCAAUUUUCAUUACAAGUCUAAUGAGCUUAACUACAAUACUUCCAUCAUUUCAGCACUUGGAAAUUUGAAAUUAUUGUAUGCUUUGAUGACAUUCUCCCCAUUCCCCUUACUCAGAAAAAAUAAUAACUCAGAAAAAAUUAGCUAUGCUUGUUUUAAAGUAUAAUUAGCAAACUGUUCUUCCUUAUGAUUCAAUAAAUGGAUGAUGAGUUUAAUAAUAUUGACCUGAAGAUAUAUCACAGUGUGUUAAGAAUUGCCAGUGGGCUAUUAUUAAAUAUCUGUUUCAACUUUUACUUACAUUUAAGUUUGUGGGGGCUGAAAAGAUGGCUCAGUGUUUUAGAGCACUGACUGCUCUUCCAGAAGUCCUGAGAUCAAUUCUCAGAAAUCACACAGUGGUUCACAAUAAUCUGUAAUGGGAUCUGAUGACCUCUUUUGGUAUGCCUGAAGACAGCUAUAGUAUAUGCAUAUACAUAAAAUAAAUUUAAAAAAAUUAAAAAUCAUAAAUUAAAAAUUUUAGAUUAUUAACACAACAUGUGCAUUGAGGAAAUAUUAGGGAAGCUUUUCUUUAUCUAUAUCUAGAUAAAGAAAACUGGGAAGUAAGUUAGUUAUUUCAUCUUGCAAAUAGGACAGCAUUCAAAGCCAUUAGAAUUGCAAACAUAUUAGUUUUUAUAGGUGACUUUCUUUUUCCUAGUUCUUAUAUGUUAAUACCAUUAUGACCUCAUGGAAUUCUAUGACAAAGAAAUAAAGACCACAUCUAAAUGAAAAGUACUCACUACACUGAAGAGAUCUGUGAAGUGGCACCAGAGCAUUUUUAUGACUCACGAACUCUUGGGGGUUCCCCAUUUAUACAAAGGAACGUGAAGGAAAACAUGAACAAAGACAUCAUUUUCCUAACAUAUCCCAGAGUCUGGAAUGUUGUAGCUGUUCAUAAUUAAUCACUGGUGACAUGGGCAUCUGGGUAAAGAAACAUUGAACUCACAACAAGCUGAAUGCUGGUGAAGGCCCAAGGAAAAUAGUAGUAGCAAGGUGGACCACAUCACUACUUUUUGGAGAAGUCUUAAAGAGAAUGUCUGGAUAAAAAAAUAAAAUAUCAUUAGAAGUGUAAG
RNAcentral lists this long non-coding RNA (1299 nucleotides) under Mus spicilegus (steppe mouse). RNAcentral describes it as "lncRNA (ENSMSIG00000009636.1)". Lineage: Eukaryota; Metazoa; Chordata; Mammalia; Rodentia; Muridae. The record is from RNAcentral.